CCCUUAGAUGUUCUGGGCCGCACGCGCGCUACACUGUUCGACGCAGCGAGUCUUAACCUUGACCGAAAGGUUUGGGUAAUCUUCAGCAAAGUCGAACGUGAUGGGGAUCGAUCAUUGCAAUUAUUGAUCGUGAACGAGGAAUUCCUAGUAAGUGCAAGUCAUCAGCUUGCGCUGAUUACGUCCCUGCCCUUUGUACACACCGCCCGUCGCUACUACCGAUUGAAUGGUUUAGUGAGAUCUCUGGAUUGACGCUGGCUAGGGGGCGACCCUUGGCCAGACUGCUCGAGAAACUGCUAAAACUUGAUCAUUUAGAGGAAGUAAAAGUCGUAACA
This 332-nucleotide ribosomal RNA is filed under the name uncultured eukaryote. RNAcentral describes it as "partial 18S ribosomal RNA". It matches the Rfam family "Eukaryotic small subunit ribosomal RNA", at positions 1470 to 1796 of the family's 1831-position model. The record is from RNAcentral.